AUCCCUCUAGUAUUAAUAUUAAUACAAGUGACUUCCAAUCAUUUAAUCCUGGUUAAACUGCAGGGAGAGAUA
RNAcentral lists this transfer RNA (72 nucleotides) under Ophichthus brevicaudatus. RNAcentral describes it as "tRNA-Gly". It matches the Rfam family "tRNA". Rfam says of the family: Transfer RNA (tRNA) molecules are approximately 80 nucleotides in length. Their secondary structure includes four short double-helical elements and three loops (D, anti-codon, and T loops). Further hydrogen bonds mediate the characteristic L-shaped molecular structure. tRNAs have two regions of fundamental functional importance: the anti-codon, which is responsible for specific mRNA codon recognition, and the 3' end, to which the tRNAs corresponding amino acid is attached (by aminoacyl-tRNA synthetases). tRNAs cope with the degeneracy of the genetic code in two manners: having more than one tRNA (with a specific anti-codon) for a particular amino acid; and 'wobble' base-pairing, i.e. permitting non-standard base-pairing at the 3rd anti-codon position. The record is from RNAcentral. Lineage: Eukaryota; Metazoa; Chordata; Actinopteri; Anguilliformes; Ophichthidae.